This 71-nucleotide transfer RNA is filed under the name Candidatus Omnitrophota bacterium. Its description in RNAcentral is "tRNA-Gly". It matches the Rfam family "tRNA". Rfam says of the family: Transfer RNA (tRNA) molecules are approximately 80 nucleotides in length. Their secondary structure includes four short double-helical elements and three loops (D, anti-codon, and T loops). Further hydrogen bonds mediate the characteristic L-shaped molecular structure. tRNAs have two regions of fundamental functional importance: the anti-codon, which is responsible for specific mRNA codon recognition, and the 3' end, to which the tRNAs corresponding amino acid is attached (by aminoacyl-tRNA synthetases). tRNAs cope with the degeneracy of the genetic code in two manners: having more than one tRNA (with a specific anti-codon) for a particular amino acid; and 'wobble' base-pairing, i.e. permitting non-standard base-pairing at the 3rd anti-codon position. The record is from RNAcentral. Lineage: Bacteria; Pseudomonadati; Candidatus Omnitrophota.
GCGGCCGUUAUCUAACGGUAUGACAGUGACCUACCAUGCCACUGAUUCGGGUUCGAUUCCCGGCGGCCGCA